RNAcentral lists this long non-coding RNA (5238 nucleotides) under Equus caballus (horse). RNAcentral's name for it is "lncRNA (ENSECAG00000046086.1)". The record is from RNAcentral. Lineage: Eukaryota; Metazoa; Chordata; Mammalia; Perissodactyla; Equidae.
AUGCACGUGUGUGGCUUGCUUGGCAAGAGCGCUGCUUAUUGGUCGGAAUAUCCUGUAGACGAGGAAACUGAGGCUCUGAGAGGUUCCCACCGCCAACGACAGGGAUUUGAAGCCCGAGGCUGCUCCCCGUUCCCACCCAAACCAGACGGCAGGUGUAAGGGCCGUGGUGGAGGCUGGUGAGGGUGCCACUUGCUUCUCCUUGACCUCGGGGAAGAUGAAGUCGUGAGUCAGGAGGGAGGCAGCUGGCCGGCUCCUGUGAUGUCAGAGCGGAUGGUCGUUGCCUUGGGGUUCGGUCUCACGCUCCGGAAGAACCUGGUUUCACGGUGAGAGAGUCCCCGUCUCUCAAGGGUUCUGUACUCAGGUUAGCUAACCUGAUGGUGACUGUGACUUCAGAAUUGAGCCAGGCUCUGAGCACUUCUUACCACGCCCACCUCUGCCCCCAUCUGGUCCAGCACCCCCGCCUCUCACCUGGGUUGUGGCAGCAGGCUCCUGCUUGGCCUACGGCUUCAGCCUCACCUUCUCAUUAAAAAGGAAAUGAGGUCAAGUCCGGUGACCUCAUGCUGGGCCGCACACAUCUUCUGGCUGCUUUGCAGCCCCUCUUACUAUCUCUGCUGUGUGCAAAACUCAGAAGCCAAAGGGGAUGAAGCUGCCAUCUGUGGGAUUAAGAUCAGAUGUCUUGAUUCGGAUCCUCCAAGCAUAAUGAUGUGUUGUUGCCAUAGCAAUUCUGCUCAAGAGCCCUUUGGACAGAAGGCAGGUGUGUAAUAGUUUGUCUGCUCACAAUGGGGAAACUGAGGCUCAGAGAGUCAAACGUUUUGCUCACGUUCACCUGAAUAGUCACCAUCCGGAUUUCAACAUAUGUCUUCUGAUUCUAAGCUCAGAGAGGUUCUUUCUACGGCACCACUCUGAACUUGAGACAAAGGAAUACUCAUAUGAACCAAUCAGAACAGUGGUUCCCUAACUUGGAAUCCUGGAUGCUUGUUAAGAAUCAACACUUCUCAGCCCCCUCCAGACUUGACACACACAUUUGCGAAGAACCCUGAGGCUCUUAGCAGCUUUCCUCCUAGGCACAUUGACAUUUCACGGGACCCUGGAGAGAUUACACAGUGAGGAAGACAAUCAUUCUCGUCCGGCCUGGGCACCUGCUGCAGUACGGUCACCUGGUCUGGCUCCAUCGAAGCAGAAGGAAAGGAAGAUUUCACUCUGAGAGGGAAUAUAAGAGUCUGGGUGUCGUGUGAGUUGAAGCGUGGGGACCACAGCUUGAUAUUAGUUUUUCCAUUAUUUUGAGUUUCUACAAGUGCUUCCUAUAAAAUUUAUCUGUUUUGAGGCCAGAGGGACUAAUAGUUUCUCAAUGAUAAAAGGCUAUCUUGUGAAGACAACAAUGCGUAUAUUAUUUGAAGUUAUUAUAUGCCAUUUGAUAGUGGUUCUUUUUUGACUCCUGUAUAAACCUUUUGGAGGAGAGAUCUCAAAUAUAUAUAUAUAUAUAUAUAUAUAUAUAUAAAGCAUAUAUAUAUAAGUAUAUAUCUUUUGCAUAUACAUAAGUAUAUAUAUUAUUGCAACUCCUGUUAAAAAUGUUUCUUAUAAUAAUCUGUGACAUUAAAUGCUUCUUCUAAAUGAAUAGACUUUUACAAGCUAAAAAUAAUCACCAUCGAUGAGUCUUUUCUUUAAAAAGUAUAAUCAACAUUCUGGUCGGAGGGGGUGACCUCUCUUUGUCAUCCUUCAGCACCCAAUAGAAUUCUCAUGAUCCUGGGCAAAUGACACAGCUCCUUUGUGACUCCGUUUCCUCAUCUGAAAGAGAAGGAGGUCAAAUCAGGUGCUCGCUAGGGCCCCCUCCAGCUCUAACACCAUGAGCCUGUGAUGCUUCCACAUACUUGCUGAUUGAUUAGCUUAUUAAUCGGGUUCAAGGAAAACACUUGUUAGUUCUGUUGUUCAAUUAGUGACAUUAAUGCUACUAAUAUAAAAUUACCAUCUAAUGUUCCCUGUCUCCAAUCUCUUUUGAAUCCUUAACAUUUUCUUCUUUGGAAUAUGAGGUGUGAUUGCUCUUUUAGAAUUAUAAUUCUCUACUUGACUUCUACUCAUAAAAAAUUCUUGAAAGAGGUCUUAGAAACUGUUUGCUCUAGCGCUAUUUUGCAAAUACUUCUGGAGAAGUGCAAGUGCUCCAUAGACAUUAAUUCUUCGACCUAAUUACAACCCAGGAAAGGACGUUAGUUUGAUGAUGAAUAAUGUGCCUCUCCUGUUUUGACUGAUAUUUAAUUGCAUUGCACUAAUUUAGUUAAGAAAUUUGCCUGAUUCCAUAGACCCACAUGUUUAUGUGAAAUGAGAUUGGUGAGAGGCUCAGAAUCCCAGCUCCGGCCAGUGCAACAAGCAAAGAAAGCAGGGGUCAGCGGGCUGCCAGCUCCCUCCAGGAGGGGACUCCCCUGUGAGUUCAGAGGUCACACUCCCAUGACCAGAGGGAGGGGGCUGAGGGAACACAGGGCUGGGAGAUUGGUGCACAUGCUCUGCCCUUAUUUUCUGAAUGGCUGCUUCCCAUCCGCCCUUCGUGACCAUAGUACCUUAGUCUACAAUUGGAAAAAUGAAUUGAAACUGCUCCUUGUAGACACUCUAUCUCCAGCCCUAAGUACCUUUUUACCCUUUGACUAAGUUUUGAGUUAGUGUUCCUUUUCAGUGCUAGCUUUGAAUUUGUGUUGACCCUGUUUUAGCUUAGCCUCCAGGCAUCGAUGAAGACCAGCUUCUCUUGCUGCUGUGAUGCUGCUCCACCUGCCCAGCUGUAUUGAGGGACUGUUAUUUCCAAGCAGUGAUGUACAAUCGUCAGAGCAAUAAAUAAUAUAUACUGGAUUACAAAAUAACCAGCCAUAAGAUAUAUAACAUUUUACUAAAGUAUAUAAUAAUGUAGUGUUCUAUGAAUUAUCUUUUUUUUUGAAGAUUUUAUUUUUUCCCCUUUUUCUCCCCAAAGCCCCCCGGUACAUAGUUGUAUAUUCUUUGUUGUGGGUCCUUCUAGUUGUGGCAUGUGGGACGCUGCCUCAGUGUGGCCUGAUGAGCAGUGCCAUGUCCGUGCCCAGGAUUCGAACCAACGAAACACUGGGCCGCCUGAAGCGGAGUGCGCGAACUUAACCACUCGGCCACAGGGCCAGCCCCAUGAAUUAUCUUGAAAAUCUGGUAGAAUGAAAAUUUGAGUCAUUAGCGUGGCUGAUGCAUGACCUGAACGCAUGACUCGGGGAGAUGGUGACUGAAGCUCCAGUAUAAAAAUAUGAAUCCUCCUAGUUUAUCGUUUCACCAUCAGAGUCUUCCCUUGGGGGCCCUUUAGGAGUUUUCAGUAAAAUCCAAAUUCCGUGUGGAGGAGCCACACCGUUAACGUUUGUUCAUUAACCUGGGAUGCUCAGAGGCUAGAUCAUGGGGAUGAGUGGACAGCCGAGCGCACCACUCUGAGAAUGGCAAACAAGGACCUGCUUUUCCCCAGCAUCCCAAAUCUCACACCCUUGAUGCCCCUGUGGAGCCCCAUCAAGUGAGAAGGAGACCAAGGAGGAAUUCAUGCCACAGGCCAGGUGAGAACUUGCCCUGAGAUAACAGCGAACAACGUAUUACAAGCACCAAUGUGAAAGCUUCUUUUAUGAUGUCGGGUCUUUUGGGAAGUUGAGUCUCUCAGGAGGGUUUAAAUCAUGACUUUGCAGCAUGAGGACGUUAACGCAGUCUUGAAACAGCACAACAUGUGCUGGCUCCACGUGUGCUGCCCUCCUGUAGGCUGUUACUCACAUCCAGCCCGCUGUCUGGACAAGGCAGCUACUUUUCUGUGUUCUUGACUCCCCUUAUUAAUUCUGUUACCAAGACAAUUAACUUGGAUGUCAAAAGACAAACGGAGGCAAUAAGAUUCUAAAGGACAAAUCUCCAGAAAGUAUUUUCUGCUUUUACUUAUCUUGAGAACUACCUUUCAUCUUAUGAAGCAGAAGAUAAGGAGCAGUGAGUCCACAUUUUUUAGACAUCCUCCAUAAUUUUGCUCCCCAUCCCUGCAAAUCUCAUCCGCCAAUGAAAGAUGGCUAAAAAUAGAAUUAAAUGUUCUACAAGCAUGAGUGUUCAAAUCCAUCCUUUCUCCAGAUAUCCAAUCACCAAAGAAAGAAGAUAAUGAUGCUUUUUCUUCAACUUUUAAACCCCCAUUUACCCACCGAGCAUGGUGUAGACAAUCAUUGCAGGUGUCACUUUCAUAAAGUGGUCGAGCACGUUGGCCAAUAAACACACAAUUCACCCAGAGCAGUGACAGCUCUUGGGUCGUCUCUUCAUACUUAAGGAAAGAGCUUAAAAUUUAAAACAAACAUAGAAGUAAUUGUUGUAAAAUCUGUCCAUAUUUGGGUUCAAUACAUUCAAUUUUUUUCUACCAAGAACUCAUAGAGAUGGCAGUAGAGACAACAAAAGGAGGAAAAACUCCAGAGUGCUUGGUAUUUUCUAAUUAUCCUUCCUUUAUUACAUUUAAUAGAGUGAAAAAGAAGGUAAGAUGUGAGCAAACCUAAAAAUGGUGAAGGCUUACUUUUCACCUUAUUAGAAAUCAGAAAACGUAUAUUUUUAAUGCCUGGUGCUUUGUUUAAAAAUUAAAUUAUCUUAAUAUACCUGUAACAGAUAUAUUAAACGUAAUUUCUUAGAGAAUGUCAGUCUCAUUCAGGGUCUGCUGUGUGUUUCAGAAACCAAUAAAUGGACAGUAACUCCCACAGAUUAUCACCCUAACCAUCUGCAAACUUAAAAAAUGUUAUUAUCCAUCCCAUUACAGGCACGGCCAUGUCUCUGUGGUGGGAAACAGGGCAGGUGCCAGCUCACUUUCCCCUUGGAUGUGGGGUGGUCACCCCAUGCCACGCAGAGCUACAGGAGUCAACUUGUGAUCUGACCUUUCACCCUUCAUCACAAAACACUAAUUUCAACUCGCUUAGAAAAGUUUAAUACUCGUUUGUGAAGCUCGGCUCUUGUGGACCAGACAAGUCAGGUGGCGCAGUCUGAUUCUGCUUCUUUAGACUUUAGAAAUGAAAAAUAUACUGUGGCUUUCACCUCUGCCAUUUACUGUUAUCUUGGGUCAAAGUUUUCUCAAUUAUUUUGGAAGCCAUUUCUAAAGUGAUCUUCAAGAUUUGAAAGUAAACAGAAAAAUCUACUAGAGUUCUCUGCCAUAGUGACACAUUACCAGGAAGAAGAGAUUUUAAUUCUGUGGAUGCUUAGCUGUAUCAAUCUCUUUCUGUGAAUUACAGAUGAAAUAAACGAGAGAAUCUG